AAGAAAAUCAAAGAAGGAAAUGCAUUCGACAAUUUGAGAACCACUCUAGCGAGGCACGGGCCAGCUGUGCUAAUCCCCGUUAACUCAUUGAAAAAAAAAGUGAGGAGGGGAUCUAAUAAUAUUUCAGGCUUAUAUAUAUAUAUUGUGUAUUCUCUUUCAAUGCAAUGCUGACUCUUAAGCCGGAAUGCCGCAUAACUAUUAUAUCUGAGGGAGGGGUGUGCAUAUAAUCUAGACUAGACAAUGGCAGACCUGGCCGGUCCGCUGUAUUGAUUGCUUCUGCGAUCGUUCAAUCCCCACGCAGUUAACACCUCUAAAGGAAGACUCAUCAAUAGUGCCUAUAUUUCUAGAAAGGACGAGACACGAAGGCAGUACUACAACUGUGUACAAGGUAAGAAAUAGUUCGUUCCCAUUAUUGUCAACACGGAGUUGGAGUCGUCAACAUUAUGUUCGGAUUCAAACUGUCAAGUAGCCAACUAAAAUGUGAAAUAGAAGAAAAGAUGGCCAACUUAAGUCUGUCUAUAGAUUUACAUGAAACACACAAAAACAGAACCUCUUCAGACAAUGCAUGUCAAAAAGAUGCAAGAAUGUUCUGAUACAACCAAAAUGUACUUACGUCAUUGCCCAGGUGACAAGACUCAGAUUUUUGGCUUUAACACAAUAAUGACUAACAUCAAUGUGUGAAAAAUAAUAUAUGAAAUAAGUGCUCCAGACAGUACAUGGUUUAACAAGGUUCAACUGCCCAGCUCAAAUGGAUUCCAAGCAAAAGUUAGUGCAUGGUGUUGAAGAGUGGUGAUUGAGUGGAGGUAUUAUUGUGAGUCUGCUUACUUGCCAGUUCUAAAUAUGAACACUUCAACAACAGACUGAAUAAAGUAAAUUAAUUGCUUUUGGAACACAUUGAUUUAUUACAAUAAGAAGAUCACAGUCCAAACCGUUUAAACAUGUCCUUUUCUGGUCGCCACUACAAGAGGUGUCUCUCAUCCUUUAGCCUGUCUCUAACCUAUUUCUUUUUAAAGUUUUUUAUGUACUGUCCCAUCACUAAGGAAAUACCCAAUUGAACCCAACUUCUAUGCAUCUUACUAUUCAGUCAUUACAAUGGGUUACUAAGUUUCUACUGCCAAUCUCUAAUGGAUUCCAAACAAAAGUUAGCCAAACGAACAAAUAUUGGUGCUGAUGCUAGACCAAACAAUUUCACAUGAAAUUAUUUCAUCCAGAACUAGAGAAAUUUUAGGCUUGAAAAAAAUGUUUAUAUUUAUUUUGUAAGUGAGAUAUGCUCUUUAAUUGUUGUGUACAUUUUUAAGAGGAGAGAUGGUUAACAAAACAAAGAGUCCCCAGAUGCCAGCAAAACACAUAUAGAACACCAGAUGUCAACAAAAUGUGUUUAGCAUCCAAAUAUCAACAAAACACACAUGGCACCCCAAAUGUCAACAAAACAUAUAUAUAUAUAUAUAUAUAUACACCCAGGGCUUUUUUGUGACCGUAUGCACUGGUACGGCGUACCAGCACCAUUUUGAAUGUGGGGAAAAAAUUAUUACUUUUCUUGUAAUUUAACAUUUAAGUAGUUAAAAGUUAGACUGAGUACCGGCACCUAUUUUUUUUUUUUUUUAAACAAAAAAAAGCACUGUAUAUACCCAAAUAUCAACAAAACAGAUGGAAACCCCAGAUGUCAACAAAACGUGUGAGGCACCAAAAUGUCACCAGACAGCCUCAAUAACAAACAGGUGAUGAGAAGAUUUGAAGAGCUGCAGUUACAUAAAUACUUUAAUCAAUUAUCAACAGGAUCACAAAGCACAUGUAUGUUCAAUUGAGGGGGAAAAAAGUAAAAAAAAAAAUUGAAAAUUACUGAUAUUUUAAUAUGGAUUUAUGUGUAACUAACAAUUAAUGAAUCAUUCAUGAUUAGUCACUAAUGUAUAAAACAGAGGUAUCUUGCACCUAACAACAAGUAGACAAGGAGAGAUAACCAAUGACACACACACACAAAAUGGUAUGAUAAAGAGAUUACUAAAAGAUCUGUCAGAUGACAAGGACAUCUAUUAGUGUUUUUAAGAAUUGUGCUGUCUAAGCAAAUAUUUCAAAAAGCUGACCCCUCAUGGUUGCUACUUUUAUGUCAAUUAAAUCAAACAAUGUCAACAUUUAAUCCCUUUAAAAUAUUAAAACUCUAGCCUAGCCUUAAUUAAUGAUAGAAAUGGUUCUGCACAGAGUAAGAUAAUUAAUGAUACACUUAAAGGAUUAUCACUUAGCCAUCACACCCUCAGCAAUAAUCACCUAGAACUAGCUCUUUUCAAACUAAAGGCACACAUAAGGUGGCAUGCAAGCAAAUAUUGGUGAUUUUAACUUUAAAACUUGCUAGAACUAAAAAGUUAUACAAAUAAUAAGAUUGUAAAAAUGUUUUUUAGACUUGGUAGAUAAAAUACUGGAGAUGCAGCGAAUCAGUGGUAAAGUCCUUGGCUUCUAAACCAGUGGUCCCUGGUUUGAAUCCUGGUGAAGACUUAUCUAUAACUUUAGGAUCUUUAGCACAUUAAGGUGCCUCAGAGUCCACCCAGAUCUAAUGGGUACCUGACAUUAAUUGGGGAAAAGUAAAGACAAUUGGACAUAGUGCUGGCCACAUGACACCCUCCUUAACUGUGGACCACAAAAACAGACGACCUUAACAACAUCUACCCUAUAGCCCUAUAGAUUGCAAGGCCUGAAAGGGGGAACUUUACUUUUAGAUAAUAUACUGUGUUUGUUCACUAAUGAUAGGAAGUGUAGAGCCUACAACAGUAAUAUGCAGAACACUAUUAUACUUGCAAAUAAUAAUAAAAGGUAUUCGUC
Molecule: long non-coding RNA, 2811 nt
Organism: Biomphalaria glabrata
Lineage: Eukaryota; Metazoa; Mollusca; Gastropoda; Planorbidae
Exons: 3
Source: RefSeq, a predicted model, not a curated record